RNAcentral lists this ribosomal RNA (504 nucleotides) under uncultured bacterium. RNAcentral describes it as "bacterial SSU rRNA". It matches the Rfam family "Bacterial small subunit ribosomal RNA", at positions 30 to 528 of the family's 1533-position model. The record is from RNAcentral.
AUUGAACGCUGGCGGAAUGCUUUACACAUGCAAGUCGAACGGUAGAGGGGGCAACCCCUUGAGAGUGGCGAACGGGUGAGUAAUAUAUCGGAACGUGCCCAGUCGUGGGGAUAACGUAGCGAAAGUUACGCUAAUACCGCAUACGAUCUAAGGAUGAAAGCGGGGGACUCGCAAGAGCCUCGCGCGAUUGGAGCGGCCGAUAUCAGAUUAGGUAGUUGGUGGGGUAAAGGCUCACCAAGCCAACGAUCUGUAGCUGGUCUGAGAGGACGACCAGCCACACUGGAACUGAGACACGGUCCAGACUCCUACGGGAGGCAGCAGUGGGGGAAUUUUGGACAAUGGACGCAAGUCUGAUCCAGCCAUUCCGCGUGCAGGAUGAAGGCCCUCGGGUUGUAAACUGCUUUGUACGGAACGAAAAGGUUUCUAUUAAUACUAGGAGCUCAUGACGGUACCGUAAGAAUAAGCACCGGCUAACUACGUGCCAGCAGCCGCGGUAAAGUGACU